CAGUAGCCACGGUAAUACGUAGGUGGCAAGCGUUGUCCGGAAUUAUUGGGCGUAAAGGGCUCGCAGGCGGUUUCUUAAGUCUGAUGUGAAAGCCCUCGGCUCAACCGGGGAGGAUCAUUGGAAACUGGGAAACUUGAGUGCAGAAGAGGAGAGUGGAAUUCCACGUGUAGCGGUGAAAUGCGUAGAGAUGUGGAGGAACACCAGUGGCGAAGGCGACUCUCUGGUCUGUAACUGACGCUGAGGAGCGAAAGCGUGGGGAGCGAACAGGAUUAGAUACCCGUGUAGUCCCUGUCUCUUAUAC
This 301-nucleotide ribosomal RNA is filed under the name uncultured bacterium. Its description in RNAcentral is "partial 16S ribosomal RNA". It matches the Rfam family "Bacterial small subunit ribosomal RNA", at positions 509 to 807 of the family's 1533-position model. The record is from RNAcentral.